RNAcentral lists this ribosomal RNA (468 nucleotides) under uncultured bacterium. RNAcentral's name for it is "partial 16S ribosomal RNA". It matches the Rfam family "Bacterial small subunit ribosomal RNA", at positions 28 to 507 of the family's 1533-position model. The record is from RNAcentral.
GACGAACGCUGGCGGCGUGCUUAACACAUGCAAGUCGAACGGACAGGCCCUGCUUUUGUGGGGUGCUCGAUUGGCGAACGGGUGAGUAACACGUGAGUAACCUGCCCUUGACUUUGGGAUAACUUCAGGAAACUGGGGCUAAUACCGGAUAGGAGCUCCUGCUGCAUGGUGGGGGUUGGAAAGUUUCGGCGGUUGGGGAUGGACUCGCGGCUUAUCAGCUUGUUGGUGGGGUAGUGGCUUACCAAGGCUUUGACGGGUAGCCGGCCUGAGAGGGUGACCGGCCACAAUGGGACUACGAUACGGAGCAGACGCCUACGGGAGGCAGCAGGGGGGAAUAUGGCACAAUGGGCGGAAGCCUGAGGCAGCAACGCCGCGUGCGGGAUGACGGGCUUCGGGUUGUAAACCGCUUUCGCCUGUGACGAAGCGUGAGUGACGGUAAUGGGUAAAGAAGCACCGGCUAACUACGUG